CCUACGGGAGGCAGCAGUGAGGAAUAUUGGUCAAUGGCCGGAAGGCUGAACCAGCCAAGCCGCGUGAAGGACGAAGGUGCCAAGCGUUGUAAACUUCUUUUGUCAAGGGACAAAAUCAGGCUCGAGAGCCUGACCGAGGGUACUUGAAGAAAAAGCAUCGGCUAACUCCGUGCCAGCAGCCGCGGUAAUACGGAGGAUGCGAGCGUUAUCCGGAUUUAUUGGGUUUAAAGGGUGCGUAGGCGGCCUGUUAAGUCAGCGGUAAAAGCCCGGGGCUCAACCCCGGCGAGCCGUUGAAACUGGCUGGCUUGAGAGGUCGGGAGGUAGGCGGAAUGCGUGGUGUAGCGGUGAAAUGCUUAGAUAUUGCGCAGAACUCCGAUUGCGAAGGCAGCAUACCGGCGGCGAUCUGACGCUGAGGCACGAAAGCGUGGGUAUCGAACAGGAUUAGAUACCCUUGUAGUC
This 459-nucleotide ribosomal RNA is filed under the name uncultured bacterium. RNAcentral describes it as "partial 16S ribosomal RNA". It matches the Rfam family "Bacterial small subunit ribosomal RNA", at positions 338 to 795 of the family's 1533-position model. The record is from RNAcentral.